AUCGAAUUAAAAUCCCCAAAAUUAAUAAAAGUAAUUAAAUUAUCGCAAGCAUUUUCCCCUCGAACUAUAUUUAUUUCGGACUUAGGAUAUAAUUAUUCGUUCGUUGAAAUAUUCCGAAAUUAAUUAGAUAAUUCGACACAAUUAAUUAUCGGCCCAAAGAUUUAUUUAAAAGCCCCAAAACUUAAUUAUUUCCCCCACUUUAUGUCUCCAAUUAAAUUAGGAAGCCCCAACAAAUUAAAUUGGAGCCCAACUAACCAAAUCCUACCAUUUAAAUUAAAAAGGCCCAAAGCUAAUUCUUAUUUUUCCUCAAUCAAUUAACAAUGCCCAAAACAAAAAAAAAAAACAAAAGGCCCAUACCAUUUAUUUCUAAUUACUGAGGCCCAAAAUCAAAAUGUACUCCCCCCCUCACAUUCACACUCUCGGUUCUCUCUCUCUCCCUCUUCUUCUUUCUCUCUUCUUUCUCUCUCGCCCAAAAUUGCAGAAGCUCGACGCCGGAAGGUCGCUGCUGCUGCCGUCGCUGCUGUGCUCCCAGCCGGAAGCCGCCGUCGCACGGUCAGGCCGCAGCAGGAGGCGCAGCGCCGUUCGCCCGUGCCGCAAACCACCGUCGCCGUCAUUCAAUCGGGGCAGUCCCUACUUACCCCACCGCACAACCCCGAACAACUCCGAACAGCCCCGAAUCGACCCGAAUCAAUGCCGCGCAGCCCCGAUUUCCUCCCCGAAGAUUACGGAGGAGAAAUAUCUACUCACGGAGGAGGAAAAUCUGCGUAGAAUAUUUAAUUAAAGAUAUUUUAUUUUAAUUAGUUUAAUUUAAUUCACGGCCCAUUGUAUUUUAUUUUAAAUUGUGCAGUACACAAUUUAUUAAUCACGGACUGGACUUUUAUAUUAA
Molecule: long non-coding RNA, 886 nt
Organism: Salvia splendens (bonfire salvia)
Lineage: Eukaryota; Viridiplantae; Streptophyta; Magnoliopsida; Lamiales; Lamiaceae
Exons: 2
Source: RefSeq, a predicted model, not a curated record